GACGAACGCUGGCGGCGUGCUUAACACAUGCAAGUCGAGCGGUAAGGCUCCUUCGGGGGUACACGAGCGGCGAACGGGUGAGUAACACGUGAGUAAUCUGCCCUCAGCUUUGGGAUAAGCACUCGAAAGGGUGUCUAAUACCGGAUAUGACUGCUCCCCGCAUGGGGUGGUGGUGGAAAGUUUUUCGGCUGGGGAUGUGCUCGCGGCCUAUCAGCUUGUUGGUGGGGUAAUGGCCUACCAAGGCUUUGACGGGUAGCCGGCCUGAGAGGGUGACCGGUCACACUGGGACUGAGACACGGCCCAGACUCCUACGGGAGGCAGCAGUGGGGAAUAUUGGACAAUGGGCGGAAGCCUGAUCCAGCAACGCCGCGUGAGGGAUGACUGCCUUCGGGUUGUAAACCUCUUUCAGUACCGACGAAGCUUUCGGGUGACGGUAGGUACAGAAGAAGCACCGGCCAACUACGUGCCAGCAGCCGCGGUAAAAC
This 485-nucleotide ribosomal RNA is filed under the name uncultured bacterium. RNAcentral's name for it is "bacterial SSU rRNA". It matches the Rfam family "Bacterial small subunit ribosomal RNA", at positions 28 to 526 of the family's 1533-position model. The record is from RNAcentral.